AACGAACGCUGGCGGCAUGCCUAACACAUGCAAGUCGAACGAGACCUUCGGGUCUAGUGGCGCACGGGUGCGUAACGCGUGGGAACCUGCCCUUAGGUUCGGAAUAACUCCCCGAAAGGGGUGCUAAUACCGGAUUAUGUCUUCGGACCAAAGAUUUAUCGCCUUUGGAUGGGCCCGCGUUGGAUUAGCUAGUUGGUAGGGUAAAAGCCUACCAAGGCGACGAUCCAUAGCUGGUCUGAGAGGAUGAUCAGCCACACUGGGACUGAGACACGGCCCAGACUCCUACGGGAGGCAGCAGUGGGGAAUAUUGGACAAUGGGCGAAAGCCUGAUCCAGCAAUGCCGCGUGAGUGAUGAAGGCCGUAGGGUUGUAAAGCUCUUUUACCCGGGAUGAUAAUGACAGUACCGGGAGAAUAAGCUCCGGCUAACUCCGUG
RNAcentral lists this ribosomal RNA (433 nucleotides) under uncultured bacterium. RNAcentral describes it as "partial 16S ribosomal RNA". It matches the Rfam family "Bacterial small subunit ribosomal RNA", at positions 29 to 507 of the family's 1533-position model. The record is from RNAcentral.